Molecule: ribosomal RNA, 427 nt
Filed under: uncultured prokaryote
Description: bacterial SSU rRNA
Rfam family: Bacterial small subunit ribosomal RNA
Source: RNAcentral
UGGGGAAUUUUGGACAAUGGGCGCAAGCCUGAUCCAGCAAUGCCGCGUGCAGGAAGAAGGCCUUCGGGUUGUAAACUGCUUUUGUACGGAACGAAACGGCUCUCUCUAAUACAGGGGGCUAAUGACGGUACCGUAAGAAUAAGCACCGGCUAACUACGUGCCAGCAGCCGCGGUAAUACGUAGGGUGCAAGCGUUAAUCGGAAUUACUGGGCGUAAAGCGUGCGCAGGCGGUUUUGUAAGACAGAGGUGAAAUCCCCGGGCUCAACCUGGGAACUGCCUUUGGGACUGCAAAGCUGGAGUGCGGCAGAGGGGGAUGGAAUUCCGCGUGUAGCAGUGAAAUGCGUAGAUAUGCGGAGGAACACCGAUGGCGAAGGCAAUCCCCUGGGCCUGCACUGACGCUCAUGCACGAAAGCGUGGGGAGCAAACA